Molecule: non-coding RNA, 3401 nt
Organism: Manis javanica (Malayan pangolin)
Lineage: Eukaryota; Metazoa; Chordata; Mammalia; Pholidota; Manidae
Source: RefSeq, a predicted model, not a curated record
UGGCGGGACCCGGCCCCUCCUCUAGAACAUCCUGUUGGGGCGGAAGUGAGGGAGCCCCUACUCCUCGUGGCUUAGGUUUGCAGGCGGCGGUAGGGUCUCAAGUGUCUCUGGACUACAUUAGUUCUCGGAAAGAACAGCCCCGGAAAGGGCGGGCUUUGUGAAGAUGGCGGCGCUGGAGGUGCUGGAGUCAGACCUGACAAGUGCCGUAACACUUCUGAAAAACCUACAGGAACAGGUGAUGGCUGUAACUGCACAAGUGCAAGCUCUGACAAAAAAAGUUCAAGCUAGAGCUUAUCCUACAGAGAAGGGUCUCAGCCUCUUGGAAGUGAAAGACCAGCUGCUGCUCAUGUACCUUAUGGAUCUGAGCCAUCUCAUCCUGGACAAAGCCUCAGGAGGGUCUCUACAGGGACACACUGCCAUUUUGAGACUGGUGGAGAUUCGCACGGUUUUGGAAAAGCUUCGUCCGUUGGACCAAAAACUGAAGUAUCAAAUUGAUAAACUGGUCAAGACUGCAGUGACAGGCAGCCUCAGUGAGAAUGACCCGCUUCGUUUUAAGCCUCAUCCUAGCAGUAUGAGGAGCAAGUUUAACUCUGAGGAUGAGGAGGAAGAUGAAGCGGAGGAAGGCCAAUCUGAGGCUUCAGGGAAUAAAUCUCUAAAAGCAGUAAAGAAGUAUGUUCCACCACGCUUGGUUCCAGUACAUUAUGAUGAAACAGAAGCUGAGCGGGAGAAGAAGCGCCUAGAACGGGCCAAGAGACGAGCGCUGAGCAGCUCUGUCAUCCGUGAACUGAAGGAGCAGUACUCAGAUGCACCAGAGGAAAUCCGGGCUGCUCGACAUCCUCAUGUCACUCGCCAGAGUCAAGAAGACCAACAUAGGAUUAACUAUGAGGAGAGCAUGAUGGUGCGCUUAAGUGUCAGUAAGCGAGAAAAAGGACGGCGAAAACGAGCAAAUGUCAUGAGCUCACAGCUUCAUUCACUCACGCAUUUCAGUGACAUCAGUGCUUUGACAGGAGGAACCCCUCAUCCUGAGGAGGAUCAGAAUCCUAUUAAGAAGCGCAAGAAGAUACCUAAGAAAGGUCGGAAGAAGAAAGGUACGGGGAUUGGAGCAACGGGCUGAGAAAGGCGUGAGGACACAAAGGAGGAAACGUGCCAUUGCCAGGACCCCAAGUAAGAGGGUGGAGAGCGCUGGCAGUCCUGCCUGGCUUCCAACUGGUAUCCUGCUGAAGGUGGCCAGAUCUUCUUGCCUGGUCUGUAUAUGUCACUGUGGGGGCACAGGGGGAAGGGGAAGGGCUGGUUUGCUGAGCUGGGAUCUAGAAUGAGAAAGGCACCUUUCUGCGGAUCCCGUUUGGACUUCACUCUAUAAGUGAGGAGUCUGAUUUGCUCCUGGUGCCUUCCUCUGCUCCUCCUCCCUCCACUCCACUCUUUCAUCUCUUCAUCACCACCUGGGUCCUACGGCUUGGCACCCAACCAACUAGAUGCUGCCAUGCUUGGCAGUGCUGCACUGGCACGUGAUCAGUGUCUCAGAUCCUGGCACUGCGGCAAACCCGAAGCCGCCAGACGUGCUCACGACCACCACUUGGUGGCAGAGGGGUGGGGGCAUGGUGUCUGCCAUGGUGCCAGGCACGGGGCGGAGUUGCAUGCCGGAAGUGGCAUGAAAGGAUGCCCUCCACAGCUGGGCUGCAUCACCGCUCUGCAGUCAACCCCAGCUCUACCUUCCUCCCAGCUAGACAGCCACUUCCCUCCUGCCCUCACUGCUCUUAAGAAAGGGAUGUAGAUGGCACCAUACUCAGUGUUUGAACAGUUUUUCCAGGGGGAGCUGUUGAUAGAGGGACAAGAGCAUAGCUGAGAGACACAUCCAAGACUCUGGGCCAGUGGACCAUGCACCUCUAUGGGCAGCAAGGACAGAGGAAAUCCUGGGAGGAUGAUGGUGUGAGAGCCUGGAGAAAGGCCAGCCAGCCAUGUUGUCACAGAGGCAGUGCCAGAAGAGAUUGGAAGGGAAGGAGGAGGAAGGGGAGCCCCUCAGGACUUGCUGUUGGAUGGUGAGGUGGUGUGUGCCUGUAUUUCGUUCUGCCCUGUGCUUUGUGAGUAUCUGAGCUGUGGGUGAGAAGAACCAGUUCUUUCACCCUUGUCAAAAAGCCCAUAUUUGGUAACAAGCCUAGAACCAUGGAGAAGCGCUCUGGGUCUUGAGAGAAGACAAAGCACUGGGAACUUGUCCUUCUGCAGAGACAAUUCAGGGAGUUUUGUUUAGGAAUUUCUCAGUGGCACCCCACUUACAGUUGGAUAAAUCUCCAUAUCUUUGAACUCCACCCAUGGAAGGGAGACCACAGAUUAGCAGUGAGCCCUGGUAGAGAAGAAGGCCCCUAGGAGGAGAGCCUCCAACAUCUGUGGUGACAGUGACCUCCAGGGACAGUGCCAUGGGCAGUCCCACAAAACUGGACCUCGGGGCUCCAUUGGAAGACUGCCAGCAGGGUGGGCUUUCCUUGCUUUUUGUGUAGCCCGACACUAUGCAUGCAUCAGUGACUAGGAAGCCCUUUGGGUAGAAGAUUUGGCUCUGGGUGAUGGGGGGGUGGGGGCUGGGUGUCUCUGAUGGAGGAUAGGGCCUGCCUAGAGGGAAGUAAAGCCAUUGCCAGGCUGGGCUGAGCUGAGCUGCCUGGGGCUGGGAGAGUUCCAGUUGCAGCACCUCUGGAAGUGGAUGGCAGCUUCAGACACAGCAAGGUAGUUUCCAGAGCAGAGGAAAAAGCAGGGAGGCACUCAGCCAAAGGGGUGAGUGGACAAUGUUUGUAUCUUUUCUCCUCUUCAGGAACAGCCAACAUAAGCAGGAGACACAGUUAGAUCUGCAAAAUGUUGGUGGUGGGGGUGAUGCCAGGAUAACGAAGAUGACAAAUCCAAGGCGGCUGGAGAUGGCGCUGAGGUAUCGUGGGACAGAAUUUGGUCAGAAGAGCUAAAGCCUUGGAUUGGGUCAAAGCCAUGUUGGAUAUGAAGGACAGUGAGGUGUGCAGGGGAUGAGACAGCCAAGAAGCAGUUUGAGUAAGCUGCUGAUUGUCACACAGCUCUAAGAGGACUAGGAAGACCAAAGCCUCAGAUGCUCUCUCCUCAGCUUCUUCUUCCCAGGAUUGGAAAAAGGCACAGCAGAGUCCCACCUAGAAACCAGAGCAGCUUAGCUUGUGGGUGAGACCCGGAUCGCCAAGGGCAGGAAAAGAUGAUGGGCUUUAGGAUUCAUACAGACCCAGGCCAGUUCCCCACUCGCUAGCUGUGCAACUUUGGUAAAUGACCUGGAGUGUUUUGCUGAAACCCUAUUUCUUCACAUGGAAUGAGAAAGAGUUCCUCACAGAGUUGUAUCGAAAUGAUCAUUAUUGAGACUUGUACUUUGAAUGUGAUCAAUAAAUGGAAAAGAUAAUUAUUCA